GAUGAACGCUGGCGGCGUGCCUAAUACAUGCAAGUCGAGCGAACAGACGAGGAGCUUGCUCCUCUGACGUUAGCGGCGGACGGGUGAGUAACACGUGGAUAACCUACCUAUAAGACUGGGAUAACUUCGGGAAACCGGAGCUAAUACCGGGUAAUAUAUUGAACCGCAUGGUUCAAUAGUGAAAGACGGUUUUGCUGUCACUUAUAGAUGGAUCCGCGCCGCAUUAGCUAGUUGGUAAGGUAACGGCUUACCAAGGCAACGAUGCGUAGCCGCCCUGAGAGGGUGAUCGGCCACACUGGAACUGAGACACGGUCCAGACUCCGACGGGAGGCAGCAGUAGGGAAUCUUCCGCAAUGGGCGAAAGCCUGACGGAGCAACGCCGCGUGAGUGAUGAAGGUCUUCGGAUCGUAAAACUCUGUUAGUAGGGAAGAACAAAUGUGUAAGUAACUAUGAACGUCUUGACGGUACCUAAUCAGAAAGCCGCGGCUAACUACGUG
RNAcentral lists this ribosomal RNA (497 nucleotides) under uncultured bacterium. Its description in RNAcentral is "partial 16S ribosomal RNA". It matches the Rfam family "Bacterial small subunit ribosomal RNA", at positions 28 to 507 of the family's 1533-position model. The record is from RNAcentral.